RNAcentral lists this ribosomal RNA (468 nucleotides) under uncultured bacterium. RNAcentral's name for it is "bacterial SSU rRNA". It matches the Rfam family "Bacterial small subunit ribosomal RNA", at positions 329 to 794 of the family's 1533-position model. The record is from RNAcentral.
GGCCAGACUCCUACGGGAGGCAGCAGUGAGGAAUAUUGGUCAAUGGGAGAGAUCCUGAACCAGCCAAGCCGCGUGAGGGAAGACGGCCCUAUGGGUUGUAAACCUCUUUUGUCGGAGAACAAAACCCGGGACGUGUCCCGGACUGCGUGUAUCCGAAGAAAAAGCAUCGGCUAACUCCGUGCCAGCAGCCGCGGUAAUACGGAGGAUGCGAGCGUUAUCCGGAUUUAUUGGGUUUAAAGGGUGCGUAGGCGGCCUGAUAAGUUAGAGGUGAAAUGUCCGGGCUCAACUCGGGAACUGCCUCUAAUACUGUUGAUCUAGAGAUUAGAUGCGGUAGGCGGAAUGUAUGGUGUAGCGGUGAAAUGCUUAGAGAUCAUACAGAACACCGAUUGCGAAGGCAGCUUACCAAUCUAUAUCUGACGUUGAGGCACGAAAGCGUGGGGAGCAAACAGGAUUAGAUACCCCGGUAAA